Molecule: ribosomal RNA, 468 nt
Filed under: uncultured bacterium
Lineage: Bacteria
Description: partial 16S ribosomal RNA
Rfam family: Bacterial small subunit ribosomal RNA
Source: RNAcentral
GACGAACGCUGGCGGCGUGCUUAACACAUGCAAGUCGAACGGAAAGGCCCUGCUUUUGUGGGGUGCUCGAGUGGCGAACGGGUGAGUAACACGUGAGUAACCUGCCCUUGACUUUGGGAUAACUUCAGGAAACUGGGGCUAAUACCGGAUAGGAGCUCCUGCUGCAUGGUGGGGGUUGGAAAGUUUCGGCGGUUGGGGAUGGACUCGCGGCUUAUCAGCUUGUUGGUGGGGUAGUGGCGUACCAAGGCUUUGACGGGUAGCCGGCCUGAGAGGGUGACCGGCCACAUUGGGACUGAGAUACGGCCCAGACUCCUACGGGAGGCAGCAGUGGGGAAUAUUGCACAAUGGGCGGAAGCCUGAUGCAGCAACGCCGCGUGCGGGAUGACGGCCUUCGGGUUGUAAACCGCUUUCGCCUGUGCCGAAGCGUGAGUGACGGUAAUGGGUAAAGAAGCACCGGCUAACUACGUG